AGAGUCCCCCUAACCAGGGGCUCUCUUCAGGAACCACCAUGUGGGCAUUGACCUCUGGAGACUUCUUUUUCAGCUGUAGGAAAUUUUUUUUAGAUGCUGUGAUGAAAAAAUCACUCCAGCUGGGGAUAAUCAGGGAAUAAAGGAAGGGGAAAAGGGCUUGGAGUAGUGUAGAAGAGAAGGACAGAAGAUCAGGGAGCCUGGGGGCUUGGGGGCAGGGCCUUGGGAGAGAGAGUAGCAGAGGUGGGGAGGGGCCCGGCUCCAGAACCAGCUCCUGCACCUUUCCCUGCACCCAAGCCUCACAGCUUUUAAUUGGGCCCAAGACUCUUUCCUGUCUGGAUGUCACCCUGGGCAGAACGUUGAGAAUCGAAGGUAAGGUGUGGGCAGCACUCACCUAGGGGGUCACUGAGGACUUGGUCAAGUCCACAGUGCCUUUUCUAGUCAUGUGUCUUCACCUGUUCUUUAUCUCAGGAUCUGAGAAGCAGGAGCAAGGAACUCAGGGAGAGAUCCAGGAAGACAUCUGACUCUGUUAAGAGACGACAGUCACAGCGACACGGGGAGCGAGGACACUUGCAGCAAAGUAAAAUGACUUCACAACUAUUGCAUCAGAGCUGCAGGUGUGAGAGAGCCUAAGCCUGUCUCAGAGUGCAGGGGACAAGAGGAAAGGAAUGGCUCCUCAGCUCAGAUGUAAGAAAAGACUCUUUAAACUUCUUGAUGCAGCUCCUUAAUGAAGAUCUUGUGAAGGAAACCUACUCAAAACCUGGGAGCAUUCCUAGGAGAGAAUUCAGCAGUGCAGCAUCCUCUCCGAGCUCUAUGAGUUGAUCGGCUUCCACCGCAAGUCCGCCUUCUUCAAGAGGGUGGCCCCCUUGCAGCGCGUGGCCCCCGGCAUUACGGAGCCUGGCGCGAAGGCCUGCUACCGACUCCUUCUGCAGACGCUUCCUGGCUACAGUCUGUCGCUGGAUCUGCAGGACUUCAGCAAAGGUGUUGGAACUAAAACAUUGCUUCAGUCCCAUUAACCAUGCCUGGUUUGGGCCCUGCUGUCCUGUCUCAUCAGGGUGAAUUCUGAUUCGUUUAGAAUAGGGCUCAGCAGACUUUUUCUGUCAAGGGCUUGGGAGUAAGUAUUUCAGGGUCUGCAAACCUCCUGAUCUCUGGUGCAGCUGCUCAGCUCUGCUGUUCAGACGCCAGAGCAUCCGGACAUUCCACACACCCACAGAGCUUUAUUAACAGCGGUGUCUGGGGCUGGAUUCAGUGUAUGAACUGCAGUUUGUCCCCACAGCCUCCUCAUUAUUGACGCCUUCAACAGAGCAUGCAUUUGCGACACUGGGUGAACCUGCACUGACACGUCAUCAUCACCCAGAGCCCAGACUUGACACUAGGAUUUACACUUGGUGGUGUGCACUCUGUGGGUUUGGACAGAUGUGCAAUGACAUGUAUCCACCGUCACAGCAUCAUACAGAGUAGUCUGUCUUAGUGACCUUAAAAUGCUCCGUGCUGCACCUCAUUCAUUGCUCCUUCCCCUCUAGCCUCUGACAGCCACUGAUCUUUUAGUCUCUGUGGUUUUCCCUUUCCCAGAACACCAUACAGUUGGAAUCAGACAGUUGCGGAACCUUCCCAGAUUGGCUUCUUUCACUUAGUAAUAUGCAUUUAAGGUUCCUCCAUGUCUUUCCAUGCCUUGAUAACUCAUUUCAUUUUAGCACCAAAUAAUAGUCCAUUUUCUGGCUGGACCACAGUUUAUCCAUUCACCUACUGAAGAACAGCUUAGUUGCUUCUGAGUUCUGGUGAUUAUGAAUAAAGCUGCUAUUAACAUCUGUA
Molecule: long non-coding RNA, 1809 nt
Organism: Camelus dromedarius (Arabian camel)
Lineage: Eukaryota; Metazoa; Chordata; Mammalia; Artiodactyla; Camelidae
Exons: 3
Source: RefSeq, a predicted model, not a curated record